Molecule: ribosomal RNA, 579 nt
Filed under: uncultured bacterium
Lineage: Bacteria
Description: bacterial SSU rRNA
Rfam family: Bacterial small subunit ribosomal RNA
Source: RNAcentral
GCCGCCCCCGCCCGCCUACGGGAGCCAGCAGUGGGGAAUUUUCCGCAAUGGGCGAAGGCCUGACGGAGCAACGCCGCGUGAGGGACGAAGGCCUUAGGGUUGUAAACCUCUUUUCUCUGGGAAGAAGAACUGACGGUACCAGAGGAAUAAGCCUCGGCUAACUCCGUGCCAGCAGCCGCGGUAAGACGGAGGAGGCAAGCGUUAUCCGGAAUUAUUGGGCGUAAAGCGUCCGCAGGCGGCUUCUUAAGCCUGUUGUCAAAGCCCACAGCUCAACUGUGGAUCGGCAAUGGAAACUGGGAAGCUAGAGUGUGGUAGGGGUAGAGGGAAUUCUCGGUGUAGCGGUGAAAUGCGUAGAUAUCGGGAAGAACACCAGUGGCGAAGGCGCUCUACUGGGCCACAACUGACGCUGAGGGACGAAAGCUAGGGGAGCGAAAGGGAUUAGAUACCCCUGUAGUCCUAGCUGUAAACGAUGGAUACUAGGUGUUGGACGUAUCGACCCGUGCAGUACCGUAGCUAACGCGUUAAGUAUCCCGCCUGGGGAGUACGCACGCAAGUGUGAAACUCAAAGGAAUUGACGGA